UAGCAUCCCACUCCGUCGCCGCCGUUUCUUUCCUUCUUGACCGCCUGCCGCCACCACCUCCGGCGUCAUGGUCGAAGGUCCAUUCUUCCACUACGCGUACAGCCUCCCCGAUCGAUCAUCUCCGCUUAUUGCUGUCGCUGUGGCGCCGCCAGAUUCUUUGUUGGCAACCUCGCGCAGCCGCUUCCGGUGUUCUGGUCGAAGGCCGUUCUUCACGAACGCACGUGGUGUUCCUGAUCCGUUUGGCUGCGAGCUGGUUUGAAUAGUAGCGAGAGAAGAAUAUUGGAUGAUGGUCAAUCAAAUAUUUCAUAGCGAAGAACAAGGUUACGAGCAAUACAACAGUUAUGCGAAAGAAAA
Molecule: long non-coding RNA, 354 nt
Organism: Lolium rigidum
Lineage: Eukaryota; Viridiplantae; Streptophyta; Magnoliopsida; Poales; Poaceae
Exons: 2
Source: RefSeq, a predicted model, not a curated record